This is a long non-coding RNA of Varroa destructor (honeybee mite), 1901 nucleotides long. RefSeq lists it as uncharacterized. The record is from RefSeq and is a predicted model, not a curated record. Lineage: Eukaryota; Metazoa; Arthropoda; Arachnida; Mesostigmata; Varroidae.
UGCAUUCGUUACAUUUUUAAAUUUUAAAUUUGGAAAGAUCCCGUUAAUACUAUACGGAGGCUGAAAUAGGAUUAGACUGAUUCUUUUCAGUAAAAUUUCAUUUUAUUUUGAAACGUAUAUAGAAACACACCUGAUCCAAAACGCGUUGAACGUGAGGUAGACAGACCAAUUUACAGUGCUCACCAUAUACUGGUAAUGUAUAAAAAAAGGCAAGGGUAGCUUUACAUUACGGUCAUACAGUGCACUUUUGCAUCGCCUAGUACUGUUUUAAAACCUAUAGGGCGUUUCGAAAAUAGAGAUCAUCUAGGUAAUGAAUAAUGCAUUCAGUAAAGGGUCGACAAGCAGGAUUAUUUGGCUCCGACUUCAACUGUCGUCUAAGCCAGAUUUGAUUUUUCUAUGAUUGAUUCUUGUCAAUCAUGGUUACUUUCGCGAUUCUCCAGUGUUUAGUUUAUGAUAUGACCACGUCGGAGAAUUUGACGAGAAGUGGUGCGGUUCUUUGUGUGUGUACUGCCACGUUCAGAUUUCAGGCAAAACGGAACUUCUGGGACUUGAUUUUAAAAUUUACCGUUUAUUCCUUGAUAUAAUCGUAUAUUACAUAGAAUGGACGUGAAAUUGCGAAGAAAAAUCUGCUUUGCGUCUUUUACCCAAUCCAAAGGGUGCGAAUGGCUUGUCAUCUCUCUUUUGUCAUUUAUUUUACGUCACGGUGUUCUGAAAUCCGCUCACUAAUAUCGCCUAUUCUCGGAAAACUUGCUUUGAUAGUAACUAAUCAUAUUUUAGAAGACCGAGCUAGAGAUAUUUACGGAUGCUUCCUCCCUGAUGGAAGAUACCCUUUCUCCUUUUGGAUACCUUUUAUAUCCUGGUCUUCGUUACUUCUCUGCACUGGCAUGAGUAGACGAAUUGCAAUAUAAAUGCUAACUCGGUAACAGCACGACUGGCAGUAGAGGGUUGUUGACUCAAGGCUAGGGGUUCGUUGAACAGUUUCUCUGUUUCAAACGAAGCGGAGCGGCAAAAGGAGCAACCAACUUCUGUUAGGCUUUGCCGAUUACUUUUGUAGGAAUUAGGACACCGCAAGCCGAAAGCCAGUCAUAGUGGUCUCAAAUAGGAAGCAGAAGAAUCGGACACAGCAGAGACAGGAGUGAGAAUGGAAGCUCGUGCCUCCAUCUUAUUAUACGUAAAGGAAACGAAGCAUAGCCAUUUUCCAGUCUGUCGCUUGGCUAUCUCGGGUAUCUGUGAUAUCGGGUGUCGAGAAUUAGUUAUCAAUGUAGCGUUAUCCUAGCAGAAAAUUGCUUGUUUCGAUGAGUCAUUAUGUUGUUAUUGCUGUUGUAAAAGGGGCAACUAGCCCGGACUUUGCGAAUUCAGCAAGUGAUGCUGUUUCAGAGCUUAAUGUGUAUCCUUGGGAGAAACAAAGUAUCUGUGCAUUAGCGCUCAUAAGGCCAGUUGGUAGAUCUGCGAUGGGCGGCAUGCCAGACACGAUGUCUUACCUGGUAAAUGCUGUUAGUGGAGGCGGUAGAAUUUCACACAACGCUACAAAAAUCGCCUAUGCAAAGGGGCCAUCACCGAUAUGAGCAGGAACAGCAACAACAAUGGCAAAAUCAAAACGGGGAAAGCUGCAAAUCGGUGCGAGCCUCAACGGUUCUGUGAUCCUGGCCUUUCGCUAAUAGUUCACCAUCAUUACUGUUAGCUCAACCGCAUUGACAUAGAUUUUACGUACAAUAGACAAAACCGAAGGAACGACAGUACUUACUCUCCAGAUAGAAUUCAGAGCAUCUAGCCAGCAGAUUACGUAAAUUAUCAUACAGUAGCUGCUUUUAACCAGACCGACCAUAUAGCAUGUAUUCUCUGUUAUGGCAAAUUAAAUCAUUACAAUUUAUUAAUAACGUUUGCUUGGUGAGCAAAAUAUC